GUAACCAAAAAAAAAAAAGACAGAGCACAUCUCAAAAAGAAAAAUUCUCUUUUCUUCUCCUUUUCAUCAUCUUCUUCCAUUUUUGGACCUUCAAGAACAACAACAAUCGAUAUCAGCAAACAAACAAAAAAAAAACAUAACAUCAUCUACAACAGCUUGAGAAGCAAAUCAAACUAACCAAACGACCCGACCGGCGACAACAGCGUCGGCGCCGCCUCCAAAGGCCAGCAUGGGCUGCUCCUCUAGCCGCCGCUCAGAUCCGGCCUCCUCCGUCAUCCAGUGCCUUCUCCGGCGACCAACCAAACGACCCCAUCGGCGACAACAGCGCCGGCUCCACCUCCAAAGGCCAACACGGGCUGCUCCUCCAGCCGCCGCUCAGAUCCGACCUCCUCCGUCAUCCAGCGCCUUCUCCGGCGACCAACCAAACGACCCCGUCGCUGCGACCAGCGUCCCAGCCACUGUUCUACCCCCAUUCUCCUCUCAAUACCGCGCCAGCAGCCAGCCCGUUCGAGCUAGCUCCAUCUCUUUUCGAGAAAUGCUGAAACGAUGACAGUUACUUCAAUUCCGGUGAGAUUCAUACAAGGUUAGUUGGAAAUCGGUGAUUUGGGAUUUCGAAUUUGAGAUCUUGGGUUGUUUUUUUUUUUAUUUCUAUUCGGGUUUGCGGUGCAUUCAUUGUGAGGCUUUUCGUUGUUUUCCAAAUCUGUCCGGUUGAAUUCGAUAUCGAGUUUGGAGUUGUUGGUUAUCGAGGUUCAAGUCGAGAGUUUUGGAUCCAACUUUGUCUUUUGAUCACAUAUUUUGGCACAAUAAAAUCUUCAAUCGAGGUCCAACUCUACACUUUCUCUCAUCUAUUUUAUUAUUUGCAAUAUUUCGUAUUUCGAAUUGGAUAUUCGUGUGUUGUUUGAUCUUUGUUGGUGAUGAAUAACUGUUGGUAUUGAUUGGUUGUUGAUUUUGUUAGUUACG
This 960-nucleotide long non-coding RNA is filed under the name Capsicum annuum. Its description in RNAcentral is "long non-coding RNA (CANN_LNC014911)". The record is from RNAcentral. Lineage: Eukaryota; Viridiplantae; Streptophyta; Magnoliopsida; Solanales; Solanaceae.